RNAcentral lists this ribosomal RNA (253 nucleotides) under uncultured bacterium. RNAcentral's name for it is "partial 16S ribosomal RNA". It matches the Rfam family "Bacterial small subunit ribosomal RNA", at positions 524 to 776 of the family's 1533-position model. The record is from RNAcentral.
UACGAGGGGGGCAAGCGUUGUUCGGAAUUAUUGGGCGUAAAGGGCGCGUAGGCGGUGCGGUAAGUCACCUGUGAAAACUCUGGGCUCAACUCAGAGCCUGCAGGCGAAACUGCCGUGCUUGAGUGUGGGAGAGGUGCGUGGAAUUCCCGGUGUAGCGGUGAAAUACGUAGAUAUCGGGAGGAACACCUGUGGCGAAAGCGGCGCACUGGACCACAACUGACGCUGAGGCGCGAAAGCUAGGGGAGCAAACAGG